GCGCCCGUAGCUCAAUUGGAUAGAGCACGUGACUACGGAUCACGAGGUUGCAGGUUCGACUCCUGCCGGGCGCGCCA
RNAcentral lists this transfer RNA (77 nucleotides) under Persephonella sp. Its description in RNAcentral is "tRNA-Arg". It matches the Rfam family "tRNA". From Rfam's summary of the family: Transfer RNA (tRNA) molecules are approximately 80 nucleotides in length. RNAcentral also lists the same sequence under 2 other names. The record is from RNAcentral. Lineage: Bacteria; Pseudomonadati; Aquificota; Aquificia; Aquificales; Hydrogenothermaceae.